UGGGGAAUCUUGGACAAUGGGCGCAAGCCUGAUCCAGCCAUGCCGCGUGAAGGAUGAAGUAUUUCGGUAUGUAAACUUCGAAAGAAUAGGAAGAAUAAAUGACGGUACUAUUUAUAAGGUCCGGCUAACUACGUGCCAGCAGCCGCGGUAAUACGUAGGGACCAAGCGUUGUUCGGAUUUACUGGGCGUAAAGGGCGCGUAGGCGGCAAUUCAAGUCAUCUGUGAAAUCUCCGGGCUUAACUCGGAACGGUCAGAUGAUACUGCUUUGCUAGAGUGCAGAAGGGGCAAUCGGAAUUCUUGGUGUAGCGGUGAAAUGCGUAGAUAUCAAGAGGAACACCUGAGGUGAAGACGGGUUGCUGGGCUGACACUGACGCUGAGGCGCGAAAGCCAGGGGAGCAAACGGGAUUAGAUACCCCCGUAGUCCCUGAGCGGGCUGGCAAGGCGCAU
This 447-nucleotide ribosomal RNA is filed under the name uncultured bacterium. RNAcentral describes it as "bacterial SSU rRNA". It matches the Rfam family "Bacterial small subunit ribosomal RNA", at positions 355 to 825 of the family's 1533-position model. The record is from RNAcentral.